RNAcentral lists this ribosomal RNA (279 nucleotides) under uncultured bacterium. RNAcentral's name for it is "partial 16S ribosomal RNA". It matches the Rfam family "Bacterial small subunit ribosomal RNA", at positions 506 to 784 of the family's 1533-position model. The record is from RNAcentral.
UGCCAGCCGCCGCGGUAAUACGGGGGAUGCAAGCGUUAUCCGGAAUUACUGGGCGCAAAGCGCACGUAGGCGGAUUAGAAAGUUAGAGGUGAAAUCCCGGGGCUCAACCCCGGAACUGCCUUUAAAACUACUAGUCUAGAGUUCGAGAGAGGUGAGUGGAAUUCCGAGUGUAGAGGUGAAAUUCGUAGAUAUUUGGAGGAACACCAGUGGCGAAGGCGGCUCACUGGCUCGAUACUGACGCUGAGGUACGAAAGUGUGGGGAGCAAACAGGAUUAGAUA